GACAACGUGUCUGAAAUACCUGGUGCUCGCCAACAUGCUAAUGAAGUCAGGAAUAAAUCCUUUUGAUUCACAAGAGGCCAAACCAUACAAAAAUGACCCAGAGAUUCUAGCAAUGACAAACUUAGUAAGCGCCUACCAGAACAAUGACAUCACUGAAUU
Entelurus aequoreus (snake pipefish) is the source of this 159-nucleotide long non-coding RNA. RefSeq lists it as uncharacterized. The record is from RefSeq and is a predicted model, not a curated record. Lineage: Eukaryota; Metazoa; Chordata; Actinopteri; Syngnathiformes; Syngnathidae. The transcript is spliced from 3 exons.